CAGUCGCCGCGGUAAUACGUAGGGUGCAAGCGUUAAUCGGAAUUAUUGGGCGUAAAGGGCUCGCAGGCGGUCUCUUAAGUCUGAUGUGAAAGCCCCCGGCUCAACCGGGGAGGGUCAUUGGAAACUGGGAAACUUGAGUGCAGAAGAGGAGAGUGGAAUUCCACGUGUAGCGGUGAAAUGCGUAGAGAUGUGGAGGAACACCAGUGGCGAAGGCGACUCUCUGGUCUGUAACUGACGCUGAGGAGCGAAAGCGUGGGGAGCGAACAGGAUUAGAUACCCCGGUAGUCCCUGUCUCUUAUAC
Molecule: ribosomal RNA, 301 nt
Filed under: uncultured bacterium
Lineage: Bacteria
Description: partial 16S ribosomal RNA
Rfam family: Bacterial small subunit ribosomal RNA
Source: RNAcentral